AUGCCAGCGCAACAAGACGGAGACACUGCGGCUGGUGGGCCUACUAUAGACCUUGAGGUGCCAUCUCAGGUCUGGGCCGACAUCUCCAUGGACUUCAUCGAGGGCCUUCCCAAGGUGGGAAGCAAGUCCGUCAUCCUCACGGUGGUCGACCACUUCUCCAAGUAUGCACACUUCAUCGCGCUCGGCCACCCCUGCACCGCCGCCUCCGUGACGCGUGCCUUCUUCGACGGCAUCGUCCGCCUCCACGGGUUCCCCUCUUCGAUCGUCAGCGACCGUGACCCGGUGUUCACUCGUCAUGUCUGCCGGGAUCUCUUCCGGAUGGCGGCGUGA
This 330-nucleotide ribosomal RNA is filed under the name Triticum aestivum (bread wheat). RNAcentral's name for it is "partial small subunit ribosomal RNA". The record is from RNAcentral. Lineage: Eukaryota; Viridiplantae; Streptophyta; Magnoliopsida; Poales; Poaceae.